GUAGGUGACCUGCGGAAGGAUCUUGUCGAAACCUGCCUAGCAGAACGACCCGCUAACACGUUAUCAGACAACAUUUGGAGGGGGCUUGGGUGCAGCACUGCCCCUCGACCCCUCCAAGUCUCGGAGCAUCGGGAUCGUCUGCUCUUGCAUGCCCCCAGGGCUGUUGGGUAGCACGGUCUGGUUUCUCCAAGGCAAAAUGAACAACCCCCGGCGUGAAUCGCGCCAAGGAAUCGGAAUGAAAAGGCUCUCGUCUCUUGUCCACGCCCCGUUCGCGGUGUGCGUGCGGCGUAGAUGCGAUUGCUUUGUCGUGAUAAAACAAAACGACUCUCGGCAACGGAUAUCUCGGCUCUCGCAUCGAUGAAGAACGUAGCGAAAUGCGAUACUUGGUGUGAAUUGCAGAAUCCCGUGAACCAUCGAGUCUUUGAACGCAAGUUGCGCCCCAAGCCAUUAGGCCGAGGGCACGUCUGCCUGGGUGUCACGCAUCGUUGCCCCCAUCCAAACCCUACCCAUGGGCGAGGUGUGGGCGUACAUUGGCCUCCCGUGUGCAUCCUGCUCACGGUUGGUCUAAAAUCGAGUACACGGCGACCACGGUGCCGCGACGAUCGGUGGUAAUGCUUUGAGCAACCUCGUUUCUAGUCGUGCGCGCUCGUCGAUAUGGACUCUCUGACCCUCUUGGCACCGCACGUACGGUGCUCGCAUCGCGACCCCAGGUCAGGCGGGAUUACCCGCUGAAUUUAA
This 738-nucleotide ribosomal RNA is filed under the name Hibiscus meidiensis. RNAcentral describes it as "eukaryotic LSU rRNA". The stretch from base 323 to 478 matches the Rfam family "5.8S ribosomal RNA". Lineage: Eukaryota; Viridiplantae; Streptophyta; Magnoliopsida; Malvales; Malvaceae. The record is from RNAcentral.